Molecule: ribosomal RNA, 640 nt
Filed under: uncultured bacterium
Lineage: Bacteria
Description: bacterial SSU rRNA
Rfam family: Bacterial small subunit ribosomal RNA
Source: RNAcentral
UAAAUGCAGUCGACGGUAACAGGAAGAGCUUGCUGCUUUGCUGACGAGUGGCGGACGGGUGAGUAAUGUCUGGGAAACUGCCUGAUGGAGGGGGAUAACUACUGGAAACGGUAGCUAAUACCGCAUAACGUCGCAAGACCAAAGAGGGGGACCUUCGGGCCUCUUGCCAUCGGAUGUGCCCAGAUGGGAUUAGCUAGUAGGUGGGGUAACGGCUCACCUAGGCGACGAUCCCUAGCUGGUCUGAGAGGAUGACCAGCCACACUGGAACUGAGACACGGUCCAGACUCCUACGGGAGGCAGCAGUGGGGAAUAUUGCACAAUGGGCGCAAGCCUGAUGCAGCCAUGCCGCGUGUAUGAAGAAGGCCUUCGGGUUGUAAAGUACUUUCAGCGGGGAGGAAGGGAGUAAAGUUAAUACCUUUGCUCAUUGACGUUACCCGCAGAAGAAGCACCGGCUAACUCCGUGCCAGCAGCCGCGGUAAUACGGAGGGUGCAAGCGUUAAUCGGAAUUACUGGGCGUAAAGCGCACGCAGGCGGUUUGUUAAGUCAGAUGUGAAAUCCCCGGGCUCAACCUGGGAACUGCAUCUGAUACUGGCAAGCUUGAGUCUCGUAGAGGGGGGUAGAAUUCCAGGUGUAGCGGUAA